Molecule: ribosomal RNA, 529 nt
Filed under: uncultured bacterium
Lineage: Bacteria
Description: bacterial SSU rRNA
Rfam family: Bacterial small subunit ribosomal RNA
Source: RNAcentral
UUGACAUACUAAGAACUUUCCAGAGAUGGAUUGGUGCCUUCGGGAACUUAGAUACAGGUGCUGCAUGGCUGUCGUCAGCUCGUGUCGUGAGAUGUUGGGUUAAGUCCCGNAACGAGCGCAACCCUUUUCCUUAUUUGCCAGCGGGUCAUGCCGGGAACUUUAAGGAUACUGCCAGUGACAAACUGGAGGAAGGCGGGGACGACGUCAAGUCAUCAUGGCCCUUACGGCCAGGGCUACACACGUGCUACAAUGGUCGGUACAAAGGGUUGCUACCUCGCGAGAGGAUGCUAAUCUCAAAAAGCCGAUCGUAGUCCGGAUCGCAGUCUGCAACUCGACUGCGUGAAGUCGGAAUCGCUAGUAAUCGCGGAUCAGAAUGCCGCGGUGAAUACGUUCCCGGGCCUUGUACACACCGCCCGUCACACCAUGGGAGUUUGUUGCACCAGAAGUAGGUAGUCUAACCGCAAGGAGGACGCUUACCACGGUGUGGCCGAUGACUGGGGUGAAGUCGUAACAAGGUAAGCGUAGAUGA